GAUGAACGCUGGCGGCGUGCCUAAUACAUGCAAGUCGAGCGAACAGACGAGGAGCUUGCUCCUCUGACGUUAGCGGCGGACGGGUGAGUUACAUGUGGAUAACCUACCUAUAAGACUGUGAUAACUUCGGGAAACCGGUGCUAAUACCGGCUAAUAUCUUGAACCGCAUGGUUCAAUAGUGAAAGACGGUUUUGCUGUUACUUAUAGAUGGAUUCGCGCCGCAUUAGCUAGUUGGUAUGGUAACGGCUUACCAAGGCAACGAUGCGUAGCCGACCUGAGAGGGUGAUCAGCCACACUGGAACUGAGACACGGUCCAGACUCCUACGGGAGGCAGCAGUAGGGAAUCUUCCGCAAUGGGCGAAAGCCUGACGGAGCAACGCCGCGUGAGUGAUGAAGGUCUUCGGAUCGUAAAGCUCUGUUAUUAGGGAAGAAAAAAUGUGUAAGUAACUAUGCACGGCUUGACGGUACCUAAUCAGAAAGCAACGGCUAACUACGUG
Molecule: ribosomal RNA, 497 nt
Filed under: uncultured bacterium
Lineage: Bacteria
Description: partial 16S ribosomal RNA
Rfam family: Bacterial small subunit ribosomal RNA
Source: RNAcentral